Long non-coding RNA from Dermacentor albipictus, 3609 nucleotides. RefSeq lists it as uncharacterized. Lineage: Eukaryota; Metazoa; Arthropoda; Arachnida; Ixodida; Ixodidae. The record is from RefSeq and is a predicted model, not a curated record.
AUCUGUAUCUAAUCUGCUCAGCAUGCAGCGCGCUCUGUGUUCAUGGCACGAUACGCCCCCAUGUGAUAAGGGCGUUACCCGCCUGUUCACAACGUGUAUAAAACCAGUGCUGAAUAAACGCUGGGGCCCCACUUUUGCCCAGCAAGUGACACACGACGUGUCGUCGUCUGCUCCACUCGAUGCAUGGUGUCAGAAGUGGUUAGCAUGGCAAUGCACUUCCUGCACGACGCGUGAAGACCAGCGAUCCUGUGGCGGAAAAUGGAUUUCCUCAAAGCACCGGAGCCGCUCCUUACAACAGGCGACCUGCGCAAGAACUGGCAGCUCUUCAAACAAAGGUUUGAAAUUUUCCUCACGGCGUCAGAGGUCGCAGAAAAGCCUCGGACUGCGUCCAAGAAGACAGCGUUGCUUUUGAGCGUCGCGGGCGCAGAGGCCAUUGAAGUCUUUAACACCUUCACGUUUGCAGCAGGCGAGAAGAACGACGACUAUGCCACAGUGGUGAAAAAAUUUGAUGAGUAUUGCAUUGCACAGACCAAUGAGGUUCACGAGCGGUAUAUGUUCAGGAGAAGAAUCCAAGCUGCUGGCGAACCAGUGGAGCAUUUCUUACGAGACCUGAAGAAUCAAGCACGUGCUUGCAACUUUGGAGCUUUGGCGGAAUCGAUGGUCAGGGACCAAAUUGUGUUCGGGAUAAAUGACGACACGGUACGUGAAAAGCUCCUCAGGGACAACAACUUGACCCUGCAGAAAGCAGAACAAGCCUGUAAAGCAGCUGAAGCAUCAGCAACUCGCAAGGAAAUGUGGAACCAGGAACACCAAGUGCAUCCUAUCAGCAGGACUAGCACGAGCCGCGAAAACCGAGAACAGACACGUUAUGACUGCCGAAACUGCGGCGGAAAACACUCCCCAAGAAGGUGCCCUGCUUUUGGAAAAACGUGCCGGAGAUGUCAGCGGAAAAACCACUUUGCCAGAUGUUGUAAAGCGACGGCAGUUGUUGGCGAGUUGCAAAGCGGCCAAGACGAUUUCGAGAUUCUCGACGUAUCCGCAAAGAAUGUGUCCAGCAAGCAUGACUGGACGGUGGAAGUCCAAAUGAAGAACGUGGCAGUUCAGUUAAAGGUUGACACGGGAUCGCAGGCAAAUUUGUUGCCUUAUGGAUUAUACGCCAAAAUGAACCCACAGCCGCCCCUGUACCCCAGCAGCGCGAUUUUACGCUCCUACGGCGGAGAUGUAAUCAAACACAUUGGCGUCAUGCGGGCCGAAGUCUCUUUAAAUGGUUGCAUUGCCAUGCUGAGCUUUUUCGUGGCACGAAAGGGGCGCCAAGCAAUCCUAGGACUUGAGGCGAGUGAACGCCUGGGACUGAUUUCACGCGUGAACAGCGUGUCGCAAAACAGCUCUGAAGAAGUGGUUGCCAGCUUUCGUCACCUUUUCACUGGCACCGGCUGCGUCAAACGAGUAUACCACAUGGUGCUUCGCAAGGACGCCACGCCAGUGGUUCAGAGACCUCGUCGAGUGCCACUGGCUUUAGAGGAGCCACUUCGGGAGGAGUUGUCACGUAUGGAACAAGCCGGAAUAAUUGCAAAAGUCACUGAGCCAACAGACUGGGUGAGUCCCCUUGUUAUCGUACGAAAGAAAGACGGGAAGCUGCGAGUCUGCAUGGACCCCAGGAAAAUAAAUGAGUGCCUCAAGCGCGAGCACUACGCGAUGCCGAGGCGGGAAGACAUAGAGGCCGAGCUGGCCGGCGCAAGAGUAUUCACUCGCCUAGAUGCAAACGCAGGGUUUCACCAAAUUCCCUUAGAUGACGAGACGUCUAGGAUAUGCACUUUUGCGACACCCUUCGGCCGCUAUCGAUUUUUGCGACUGCCUUUCGGAAUAUCAUCAGCGUCCGAAGUAUUUCAGCAAACCCUAAGUGAAAUUUUUGACGCGCUUCCUGGCGUUAGAGUGUAUGUCGAUGACAUACUCGUGUGGGGCAAUUCCCAACAAGAGCACGACCAACGUCUAAGAUCAGCGCUAGAAGCGGCAGAACGUGCGGGCCUUACGUUCAAUCCAGCAAAGUGCGAGUUUGGCGUUCAACAAAUUGAAUUCCUGGGCGACGUGAUAAACGAAGAAGGAAUCCGUCCAAAUGCAUCCCAUGUUGAGUGCAUGUUGCAGAUGGCACCCCCUAGUGAUAAACUAGCAGUUCAACGCAUGCUGGGUGUCGUGAACUAUUUUGGAAAGUUUUUGCCAACACUAGCAGAAAGGACAACGCUUCUCAGAAGCUUGCUAAAAAAAGACGCUGUUUUCGAAUGGUCGGCAAAUCACGAAAAAGAGUGGAGAGCGCUGUGCGACAGCCUUAGCAAGCAGCCCUUGCUAUCAGUUUUUGACCCUGAAAAAGAAACCAGGUUAUCAUGCGAUGCGUCACAAAACGGAAUCGGUGCUGCCUUGCUGCAGUAUCACAACGGUGCAUGGAAACCGGUUGCGUACGCCUCCAGAGUGCUUACUGAUACGCAGCAACGCUAUUCACAAAUUGAAAAGGAAGCAAUGGCCAUAGUUUUCGGCUGCGAGAAAUUUCACCAUUUCAUGUAUGGGCGGAAGGUUGUCGUUGAGACUGACCAUCGUCCGUUGAUCUCCAUAUCGCAGAAGGCGAUCGGUGACAUGCCGCCAAGACUGCAGCGAUUUUUUUUGCGUCUGCUACGCUAUGACAUUUUAAUGCAUUAUGUUCCAGGAAAACAGCUUCUACUGGCGGACAUGCUGUCCAGGGCUUCCGUUAAGGACGCAGCAGAUAACGCAGACAACAACAACAACGACGACGUCGAAGUGCACGCAGUCAACUCCACUGGAAUGCGGCUGGUCACCAGCCGAAAUAUUACAGGGACGCUCGCUGCGAACAACUCUACCAGCCGUUCAGGUCGGACAAAGCCGGCGGGUUGACAAACGCCAGCAAAAAGACUACUCAAGAGGGCCACUCGCACCGCUCAACAACGGCGAAACGGUCAGAAUAAAAGACAGCUCAUCAUGGAGAAGAAAGGCUCGGGUUCUUCAGUCGUCUGGUCAACCAAGGUCAUACGUUGUCAUGACUGAAGACGGGCAACUCUUGCGACGCAACCGCGAGCAUCUGCUGCCAACCAGAGAAUCUUUUCGCCUUAGCGGUCCUCCUCACGACGACGAAGGUGUUUUUCAAGAAUACGCUGCCCCUGCCAGCACACAACACGACCCAGAGGCGGCGCAAAACCCAAACAGCACAGCGAGCAUUGUGCCGACAGUUCCGCAACAAGCAGCUGCUCCAAGGACUACAAGACAACGCAGACCACCUCGGCGCUUAAUGUAUGACGCGAACUUUCAACAAGUGCCGUGACUGUAUUCAGUGCUCUGAUCUUUGCUGUAGUUUUGGAUGUGCAGUGAUUCUUUAACUUUCUUUUUGUUCUCCCGAGCUAAAAGCGCUCCUUGUCCUUAGUUUUUUUUUUCGUUACGAAGGGGGAUGUAUCGUAAUCUGUAUCUAAUCUGCUCAGCAUGCAGCGCGCUCUGUGUUCAUGGCACGAUACGCCCCCAUGUGAUAAGGGCGUUACCCGCCUGUUCACAACGUGUAUAAAACCAGUGCUGAAUAAACGCUGGGGCCCCACUUUUGCCCAGCAAGUGACA